GAUGAACGCUGGCGGCGUGCUUAACACAUGUAAGUCGAACGGAAAGGCCCAAGCUUGCUUGGGUACUCGAGUGGCGAACGGGUGAGUAACACGUGGGUGAUCUGCCCUGCACUUCGGGAUAAGCCUGGGAAACUGGGUCUAAUACCGGAUAGGACGAUGGUUUGGAUGCCAUUGUGGAAAGUUUUUUCGGUGUGGGAUGAGCUCGCGGCCUAUCAGCUUGUUGGUGGGGUAAUGGCCUACCAAGGCGUCGACGGGUAGCCGGCCUGAGAGGGUGUACGGCCACAUUGGGACUGAGAUACGGCCCAGACUCCUACGGGAGGCAGCAAUGGGGAAUAUUGCACAAUGGGCGCAAGCCUGAUGCAGCGACGCCGCGUGGGGGAUGACGGCCUUCGGGUUGUAAACUCCUUUCGCUAGGGACGAAGCGUUUUUGUGACGGUACCUGGAGAAGAAGCACCGGCUAACUACGUG
RNAcentral lists this ribosomal RNA (468 nucleotides) under uncultured bacterium. RNAcentral describes it as "partial 16S ribosomal RNA". It matches the Rfam family "Bacterial small subunit ribosomal RNA", at positions 28 to 507 of the family's 1533-position model. The record is from RNAcentral.